This is a long non-coding RNA of Numida meleagris (helmeted guineafowl), 2439 nucleotides long. The record is from Ensembl. Lineage: Eukaryota; Metazoa; Chordata; Aves; Galliformes; Numididae.
CUGCCUUUUCCAGCAUGAGAUUAUUCACUCGACGAUGUCACGACUCCCAAGUCUGAUGUCAUGGUUGUUUCCACAGCAACCAAAUUGAAUCAAGGAAUUAAAAACCAGGAGGAACUCACACAGAAUGGCAACACAACACAGGAGUGCCAUGAAGCAAGCCAUACCCUGCACAUGAUCCAAGAUCUCAACACGCCCAGCUGGUACAGUGCUAGCAUAGCUCAGCGAGGAAUAGCACAGCAUUGGAAACUCAGCACCUUGGCAUUGCACUGCUUUCUGAAUCCUGAUUAAAGGACACAAAAACGUGGUGGCACUGCAGGACUACUCCCGCUGGGGAUUAGGGUAGGGUUGCAGGGAGUGUCUCCUCCCACUGCAGCCCCUGUUUCCAUGCAGCCUCAGGGCACCUGGUGCAACCUCUGCCCACCUACAGGUGCCCAGCAGAGCUGCAGCUCCCCUUGGCCUGUGCAAUAUUCAGUGCUCAGAGACUGUGCUGCUCCUUGCUGGAGGAAGCCUGUAUUGCUAAUGGGAGAGGACAGAAGGAUGCAAGAUGAGCUGCUGUGCCAAGACUGCAUCAUUCUUUUCAGCCUCAGAGGUUUCCCCUAGACCCUCCUGCACUCAUCUUCCUCACCUGCAGGAGAUGCAUGCCUUGCCUUUCACUUGCCACAUGCAUCCUGCUCACUGUGCUUCAGUUUCUGAUGAUGCUGAAUACUCUCUUGCCCAACCCAAAGCCCCAAACCACCCCACUGUCCCACCCCUGUGUGAUACACCCUUUUCAGCACCCCACUGCAAAUGCUGGAGCAAAAAGUCCUGCUCCCCUAGCCAGACUGGGGCGAUCCAUGGCACACAGAGCAGGCAGCCCUCCUCAUAUGAAGGCUGCUUGAAGGAGAGUAUUUUUGCUGUGUCAGCAUCUCUGCUUCUCUAUCCCCUGUGUUUGCUGAUUGCAUCCUUGAAGCGUCACUGUCACGUUAGGUUUUCAGCAUGGAGCUGAGCCCUGAGCUCGGAGGGACAUGGAAAUCUGGGGAGGUCUUCUUCAGCAGAGUGCGAGAGGGGACAAAAAAAAAAGAGAAAGAGAAGGAACAACAUCUGCCUCCUCCUCCUGCCUUCUCCUUCCAUUCAACAGCAAGGCUCUUGCUCGAUUGGUAUGUGAUUGCUGAUGCUGUGAGAAGUGCUUGGGAGCCACCAGGUCAGGAUAAAGAGUCAGCACUGCCUACUCUGGGGCAAGGUGGAGGAACUUGGCAGAACCCCAGGACCUGGCAGCACACUCCUGGCAGUGCAGGAACCGAUGCUCGCACCAAGGAUGUGCCAUUCUCCAAAUCACUGCUGCUCACAGAGCUGCUGAAGAUAAACUUGACCUGUGUUACUGUGUCCAUCCUUUGGGUAUGCUGGAGAAAUCACUCCAGCUCUGUUCAACACCUGGGGCUGCACGUGGACUUCUAAUUAGACUUCCAGUGAGUUCAUUUCGUGCCCAGAUGCAGCUGGAAGCCCCGUAGCCUGGCGCUGCUCCUCUUUCCCUGAUGAGAACACACCCCUGCCAGGAGCCUGGGGCUGGUGGCACUGCACAGAUCCCACAGCUCUACCCAUUGCAUUCCAUUUGGAAGGGGCCAAACACCUCUGCUUGUGCAGUCCCACCCCAAAGACCUUGCGAGUGUCUCCUAUCCUUCACCAGCAGCCGUGGCGGUCGGGCUGCCGCGCUUCAUUUCCUGCAGAAUUUCAGCUGCUUCGGUAUUUAUCAAGAGCAUCUGUUAGGCAAUCUGGAGGGGAGCGGUAAUGGGGCCAUUAGUGCGCGUGAGGAGGGAGGUUCUCAGCUGCACCGAGGCCAGGCAAGAGGAGGCUGUGUGCUGCUCGGGGUGUCGUGACCUUGAGUAGUCGCUGAUGAGCGAUGCUGUGUGUCUCAGAGCAGAAAUGACAGCGAUGAUGCUGCUCUGAAUAGAUGUGCUCUGGUCACUGGGCCUGGAGAGGGAUGCAGGGGAUGGAUCGUUAGAAACAAUCAGCGUCUCAGGGCUGGGCUCUUGCAGAGAGGCUGUGCCCAAGCAGAGGGAAGAAGCACGAGGUAAACCACGUAGGAGUGCAUGCGCUUUCCUCUAAAGGUCAUCCUUCAGAUGGGGCCUUUUCCGCCCUCACUGAUCCACUGUUGGUACUCGUGGGCUCCACGGAGGUGAGCAAUAGUGUGCGUAAGAAAUGGAACUCUACGAUUAGUGACAUGUGCAACACAUAAACCCCAGUACCGAACUCCUCUGCAUAUACAACAGCUCAGCAGGACCCACAGUGCCCACAGCAUUGUCCACCGGGCCCUAUCCCUACUUCCCAGCUUGCAGCUGCAGCCUUCCCAAAUUUCCAGCCAUUUCCUGCCACAGCAGCAGCAAUGCAGUGCCUCUUGCUCUGCGUUUGGCCCCAUGCUCUGCAGGGCAGCUGUGUUGUGGCACGGUGCUGGCUGUGCAGGAA